This is an RNA transcript of Physeter macrocephalus (sperm whale), 2085 nucleotides long. It is a transcript of the gene named solute carrier family 30 member 3, with no coding region annotated. The record is from RefSeq and is a predicted model, not a curated record. The transcript is spliced from 9 exons. NCBI's taxonomy places the organism in Eukaryota, Metazoa, Chordata, Mammalia, Artiodactyla, Physeteridae.
CACUGUGGUGGCCCCGAGGCCCUGCGGGGAGUCUGGGGGUCGACUGGCCGCUCGGACUUGGCGCGGGGUUGGCCACGCCUCUCCCUACCUCGGUGCGGCCUAGACGGUCGGGGCCGCGGGGAAAUGGAGCCCUCUCCCGCCACGGGGGGCUCUGAGACCACUCGCCUGGUGAGCCCCCGAGACCGCGGCGGCGCUGGUGGCGGCCUGCGUUUGAAGAGUCUCUUCACAGAGCCCUCCGAGCCCCUCCCUGAGGAGCCCAAACCCGUGGAGAUGUCCUUCCACCACUGCCACAGGGACCCUCUGCCACAGCCAGGUCUCACCCCUGAGAGGCUGCAGGCGCAGAGGCAGCUGUGUGCCGCCUGUGCUGUGUGCUGCGUCUUCAUGGCCGGGGAAGUAGUCGGUGGGUAUUUGGCGCACAGCCUGGCCAUUAUGACGGAUGCAGCCCACCUGUUGGCAGAUGUGGGCAGCAUGAUGGGCAGCCUCUUCUCCCUCUGGCUCUCUACCCGUCCAGCCACCCGCACCAUGACCUUUGGCUGGCACCGCUCAGAGACUCUGGGGGCUUUGGCCUCUGUGGUCUCCCUCUGGAUGGUCACUGGCAUCCUCCUGUACCUGGCCUGCAUCCGCCUGCUGCACAGCGACUACCACAUCGAGGGGGGUGCCAUGCUGCUGACCGCCAGCAUCGCAGUCUGUGCCAAUCUGCUAAUGGCCUUUGUGCUGCACCAGGCCGGGCCCCACCACAGCCACGGGUCCAGGGGGGCAGACUAUGCACCGCUGGAGGAGGGGCCCGGGGAGCCCCUGCCCCUGGGGAACACCAGCGUCCGGGCGGCCUUUGUGCACGUGCUGGGGGACCUUCUGCAGAGCCUUGGGGUGCUGGCCGCCUCCAUCCUCAUCUACUUCAAGCCUCAAUACAAGGCAGCUGACCCCAUCAGCACCUUUCUCUUCUCCAUCUGUGCUCUUGGAUCCACCGCUCCCACCCUCCGAGAUGUUCUCCGCGUCCUCAUGGAAGGUACCCCCCGAAGUGUGGGGUUUGAACCUGUGCGGGAUACCCUGUUGUCAGUGCCAGGAGUUCGGGCAACCCACGAGCUGCACCUGUGGUCCCUCACGCUUACUUACCAUGUUGCCUCCGCACACCUGGCCAUUGCCAUCAUCUGCUUUUAGUGCAACAACAUCCUACGUGGCUUCUCUAAUGGUGGGAUGGCUGCUACCCCCAGCUCUUCUGGCAGUCAUUCUCGACCCCGCACCAUCACCAGCAAGGUCGCCCACAGUCUACAGGAUAUCAUCACAGAAUCACACACGCCAACCGAGGCUACGCUGGCAAAUUCCAACUCGACCCUUUCAACUUAAAGCCCUCAGUGCCUGUGGUUAUAGACUCCUAUUUCUGUUGGAAUCUACAUCCAAACCUCUUGGUCUGGCUCAUCAGACUCUCAACCCUAACAAUAUGCCUAACAACAUGGAGCAGAAAGGUCCUGCUGGGUCUAGGCGUAUGUCCUCACUGUGCUGCAGACACAGAACUACCACUCCUAUGUUCAAGCUGGAAGGCAAGAUUCUUCACCCUCCUCCCAUCCACCUGGCACAGCUUGCCCUUUCCUCGGGAACCAGCCCAAACCCCAACCCCGUGGAUCCUUCUGACACCAGGAGACCCAUGCUGGUCUCUUCUGAGAACCAGCUCCCCCCACACACCUUAGACUUGUUCUCUGGUUGUUUAGAUUUGUGCGGCUUGUCUCUCCCACUGAUUCUGAAUGCCCUUAAAGCCUGAAAUAACUUCUUCCUUUUUAACAGAAAGGUGAGUGUGAAGUCAGGUGGUCCUGAUAUUUGAAUCCUAGCGAUGUGACUUUGGUUAAGCCACCUGGUAAUCUUCUGAGUGUUUCGCGUCUGUAAAAUGGUUGGACGUUUGGCGUAGGAUUAAAUAUAUGUGGAAAGUCCCUGCUCAUGCUAAGUUUUCAAAAAAACGAGUUCCGUCUCCUUUUCCCAUCCCUGCAACUUGCUGAUAGCUAACAGCUCUUUGCACAAAGCAGGUUCUUCCUGAAUGAUGUUGGAGUAGUUUGGACCAUCGUGGGCCAAUUCAAUCUGUAGAAGUCGCUGGAG